This 279-nucleotide ribosomal RNA is filed under the name uncultured bacterium. Its description in RNAcentral is "partial 16S ribosomal RNA". It matches the Rfam family "Bacterial small subunit ribosomal RNA", at positions 506 to 784 of the family's 1533-position model. The record is from RNAcentral.
UGCCAGCAGCCGCGGUAAUACGGAGGGUGCAAGCGUUGCUCGGAAUUACUGGGCGUAAAGCGUCCGCAGGCGGGUGGAUAAGUUGGAUGUGAAAGCCCAGGGCUCAACCCUGGAACUGCAUUCAAAACUGUCUACCUUGAGUGCGUGAGAGGGAAGCGGAAUUCCUGGUGUAGAGGUGAAAUUCGUAGAUAUCAGGAGGAACACCAGUGGCGAAAGCGGCUUCCUGGCAUGACACUGACGCUCAUGGACGAAAGCGUGGGGAGCAAACAGGAUUAGAUA